Molecule: long non-coding RNA, 1711 nt
Organism: Felis catus (domestic cat)
Lineage: Eukaryota; Metazoa; Chordata; Mammalia; Carnivora; Felidae
Exons: 6
Source: RefSeq, a predicted model, not a curated record
GGCUUCCAGGUCCUUAAACAUUCUAUGACAGUUAGGAGGCCAUUCUGCCCACAGCACAUGGGAGCUUGUGGCACUACCCGUCGGUUUACCAGGGAGGAAGAUAAGGUGAGCUCUACACCCAACGUGGGGCUCAAACUCAGGACUGCGAGAUCAAGAGUCGCACGCUCUACCAGCUGAGCCUGCCAGUUGUCCUCAUUUUAACGAAGCCCUGUAGACACUCUCAUGGCCAACGCUACCACUCAGACUGCGGCCCCACCCCCAGGAACAUCAAAGCAUCCAAAGGAUUGAGAAGAUUGAGGCUUCCUUCGGGUAUAAAAAGCAAUCCUUUCCUGGAAGUAAGAAAGUAUUUUGAAGUCCUCUUACUCAAGUCAGAUCCAUAGAGCAGCAACCUCAGCAUCACCCAAGAGCCUGAAAUGCUGUCCCUGAGAACCCACUUGAAACCUACUGGAAUAAAAUCUGCAUUUUAACAAGAACCUCAGCUGAUUCCCAUGCACAUUAAAGUCUGAGAAGCAUGGUUCUGAAGUACAUCUGGCUUAUGAUUACUAGAAUCACAAGAAGGAAGUUGCCUGAAACUUCAAGACUGUCCUCCGGUGGCCAGGAGUUAAUGAAAUCACAAUCCCUUUACUAUAGUUGCGAGAAUCUGGGGACUUACUAAACUCCCCAGAAACCCCCUCCUGCUGCCUAAAUCACCUUUUCUUUUCCAGAACACGUAGGCUGAUUGUAAACUGAUACCUAAAAGCAUAGCAUAAUUCUAGAAGGAUUUUGCUUUAUACUCAAAAGACCAGCAUCAUAGGCCAUGCAUUCAUUCUAUAACCAGUAAGUGAAUAUCUACUUAGGUAAUUCACAAUAACUAACACUGUGCAAAGAGCCCAAAGUCUAGUAGAAGGAUAGAGAUUACAACACAGAGUUAUAGGUCUAACAGGGAAAGGUCAGCACAGGAAAGCAGGGUACGGAGUUGGGCACUGGUACACACUUGGAAAGCACCUGACCCAGAUCUGGAAUAUCAAAGCAGCUUCCUGUGCUGAGCUUUGAAAAACAAACAAACAAACAAACAAACAAAGAUGAACAUUUUUUCAAGAAGCAGCCCACCUGUAGGCAUAGCGAGUGUGGUGUUAGGUUAGGGCAAGUCCCUGUACCAGCAAUGAAAGAGUCAACUACCUUACUCAAAAAAAAAAAAUUGACUCUGGUUUUAUAGCUUUUGUUCAACUGCUUUGAAUAUUUGUAUGCAUGAGCUAUAAAUGUGGCAGCCUUAGGAAUAUUUUUUCCCUUUCAACUCUCCUACCUGUAGACAAGGAGGAAUGGCAAACAUCAAAUACAAGAAGCACUAACGCGGAAGUCUGCGGAACACUGCAAGGGGGCAGGGAUAACAGAACAGUGCCUCCACAUUUGCUAUUUGAUCACAGAGAGUGUCAACGAAACCGCAACCAGCAAUUUGGGGACCAUAAAGAGAAUUGCUUUAAACUGAAUACAAAAGUCAGUAAAAUGUCUUAGGUGAGGGACACUGGCUAUUUGGCAGGUGCACUGCUGGCAGCAAUCGAGGGUCUCAGUGUGACCACCGUGUGCACACCCCUCUCUUUGCCUGUCUCUUCUCCCUGCAUUUAAAUAGUUCUUAUCCGGGGCGCCUGGGUGGCGCAGUCGGUUAAGCGUCCGACUUCAGCCAGGUCACGAUCUCGCGGUCCGUGAGUUCGAGCCCCGCGUCAGGCUCUGGGCU